Molecule: ribosomal RNA, 449 nt
Filed under: uncultured bacterium
Lineage: Bacteria
Description: partial 16S ribosomal RNA
Rfam family: Bacterial small subunit ribosomal RNA
Source: RNAcentral
AACGAACGCUGGCGGCAUGCCUAACACAUGCAAGUCGAACGAGAUCUUCGGGUCUAGUGGCGCACGGGUGCGUAACGCGUGGGAAUCUGCCCUUUGGUUCGGAAUAACAAUUGGAAACGACUGCUAAUACCGGAUGAUGACGAAAGUCCAAAGAUUUAUCGCCAGAGGAUGAGCCCGCGUAGGAUUAGCUAGUUGGUGUGGUAAAGGCGCACCAAGGCGACGAUCCUUAGCUGGUCUGAGAGGAUGAUCAGCCACACUGGGUCUGAGACACGGCCCAGACUCCUACGGGAGGCAGCAGUGGGGAAUAUUGGACAAUGGGCGAAAGCCUGAUCCAGCAAUGCCGCGUGAGUGAUGAAGGCCUUAGGGUUGUAAAGCUCUUUUACCCGGGAUGAUAAUGACAGUACCGGGAGAAUAAGCUCCGGCUAACUCCGUGCCAGCCGCCGCGGUAA